Molecule: transfer RNA, 58 nt
Filed under: Elephantulus rupestris (western rock elephant shrew)
Lineage: Eukaryota; Metazoa; Chordata; Mammalia; Macroscelidea; Macroscelididae
Description: tRNA-Ser
Source: RNAcentral
AAGAAAGAAAAAAGAACUGCUAAUUCUUUAUACCACAUCUUAACCUGUGGCUUUCUUG